Molecule: long non-coding RNA, 2335 nt
Organism: Symphalangus syndactylus (siamang)
Lineage: Eukaryota; Metazoa; Chordata; Mammalia; Primates; Hylobatidae
Source: RefSeq, a predicted model, not a curated record
UCAGUGGGAAGUCCCGCUGAUCGCCUUAGCUACCGGAAAGCGAAAACGAUGACGUAUGCUAGUGGAACAGGGAGCUGCACUGGUUGGAAGAAACUAAGGCUGCCGGAAGAAGCACAUCGGAAUUAUUCUUCAGAACUACAAGCAAGAAAGUGGGGAGAACUGGGCCAGUCCAAGGCCGUCUGGAGAAAUGUCCUGCAGAUAUCACUGGGUAUUCUUGCACAUCUCGAUCUUAAUAUGUCCUAAACUGAAUCCAUCAUCCCCCUGGCUCCCAGUGAACCUUCUGCCUCUUGUACCUUGUUUCACUUGAAGAUGCCAUUCUUCUCCCAGUUACUGAGUCUAUAAAGUCGGAAGUUAUCCUUGGCUCCUCCUUAUUUCUAACCCCUCCACCUUGAAGGUGACAAUCACUUGGUCUUGUUAAUUUGUUACUCUAAAUAUUUCUGAAUUUCAUCUACUUGCUUAGUUCAGGCACUCAUCCUCUGAUUGGAUUCCUGCAACAGUCUCUCGAAUGAUUGCUUUGCCCAAAUUUUGCCUGGUCCAAAAAUCACAUUGGUUGCUGGAUAGAUUUCUCUAAAUCACAUAUCUGACCCUACUAUUCUCUUGCUUAAAACCCUACAUAAUUUUUCCAUCAUUCACAGGAUACAGUAGGGGCCCCUGUGCUACUCAUGGGCCUCAAUGAUCUACAGACCUCAAUCCUCCAGUAAUGAACCACCGUCCUUCUCAGCCCACAUGUGCUGUUUGUUGUUUCGGUGCCCUUUUGCAUGCCUUCCUCUCUGCCAAGAACAGCCUCUUCACCUCCCUUCCUUUCCCAGGAGCUGCCAUGUGUGCUUCAAGACUUUGAAGAAGCCUUCCAUUGACCUCCUUUCUCCUCAAGGUGGCAAAACCAAAAAUCAAACCAACAAGUAAACAAAAGCGGUGGCAGAAAGGAAAAGUAACCACAGAAGAGAGGAGAAUAGGUUUAGACCGUGAGUUUGAAGACUUAGAGACAAACUUCCCACAGAAAAGAUCCUGACCUGAAAAGAAAAAUCCAGGCAGAGGAAGAUUAUUCAGCAGGAGGGCCUCAGUGGAGGGUGGGUGAUCCCUUUAGAAGGAGGGCCUCAGUGGAGGGUGGGUGAUCCCUUUAGAAGGAGGGCCUCAGUGGAGGGUGGGUGAUCCCUUUAGAAAGAGUCAAACUGUCUCAGCGAGUUCUUGAGAACAACUUCAAUAUUAGCAAAUGAGGUACCAAAUAUAAAGGUGCAUUUUCAGAUUUUUAAAAAUUCACAAAAAUGGCCGAGUGCAGUGGCUCACGCCUGUAAUCCCAGCACUUUAGGAGGCUGAGACGGGCGGAUCACGAGGUCAGGAGAUCGAGACCAUCCUGGCUAACACGGUGAAACUCCGUCUCUACUAAAAAAAAUUACAAAGAAAAUUAGCUGGGAGUGGUGGUGGACGCCUGUAGUCCCAGCUACUGGGGAGGCUGAGGCAGGAGAAUGGCGUGAACCCGGGAGGCAGAGCUUGCGGUGAGCCGAGAUCGCGCCACUGCACUCCAGCCUGGGCGUCUGAGCGAGACUCCGUCUCAAAAACAAAAAAAAUUGACAAAAAUGUUGGCUUUUAGCUUUGAAACCAAAACUAUUUCUUCUGUGAUAACAAUAAGCUCAGAAAUUGUUUGUUCAAGAGAUAAAAAGUAGAAAACAAAACGGAUGUAUGUAAUUAUAAUCUUCUCAAUUAUUAUCGGCAUAAACAACCUAAGAUAAGAGUUAAUGUCACUGCCUUUUUUCUCCUUCUAGAAGAAUAAGCUAACUAAAUCUUAAGGAAAGCUAGAUUGCUAGAUCCUUUUUCAGCCCCCAGUUCCUGUUUAGGGAGUAUCAUUGCUUCUUAAACUGAAAACUACUAAGCAAACAACCAGUUGGUUAUAGGAAUGUCUCUGCUUGUUUUAUGUUGAAAUUUUAUUCCUUUUUUUUUUUUUUUUUUUUUGAGACAGAGUCUCACUGUGUCACCCAUGCUAGAGUGCAGUGGCAUGAUCAUAGCUCACUGCAGUCUCCCAUGGUCAAGCGAUCAUUCUACCUUAGCCUGCUGAGUACUGGGACUACAGGUGUACACCACCAAGCCUGGCUAAUUUAAAACAUUUUUGAAGACAUGGAGUCUUGCCAUGUUGCACAGGCUAGUCUCAAACUCCUGGGCUCAAGCAAUCCUCCCGCUUUAGCCUCCCAAAAUGCUGGGAUUACUAUUUUUAAAUUUGAAAGAGCUAUAUUGAGGUAUAAUUGAUGUACCUUAAGCUGCACAUAUUUAAAAUGUACAAUUUAUUAAGUUUUGACACCCAUCACCACAAUCGAGAUAAUAAACAUAUAUAUCACCCCCAAAA